GACGAACGCUGGCGGCGUGCUUAACACAUGCAAGUCGAACGGAAAGGCCCUGCUUGCAGGGUACUCGAGUGGCGAACGGGUGAGUAACACGUGGGUGAUCUGCCCUGCACUUCGGGAUAAGCCUGGGAAACUGGGUCUAAUACCGGAUAGGAGCCAUUUUUAGUGUGAUGGUUGGAAAGUUUUUUCGGUGUAGGAUGAGCUCGCGGCCUAUCAGCUUGUUGGUGGGGUAAUGGCCUACCAAGGCGGCGACGGGUAGCCGGCCUGAGAGGGUGGACGGCCACAGUGGGACUGAGAGACGGCCCAGACUCCUACGGGAGGCAGCAGUGGGGAAUAUUGCACAAUGGGCGCAAGCCUGAUGCAGCGACGCCGCGUGGGGGAUGACGGCCUUAGGGUUGUAAACUCCUUUCGCUAGGGACGAAGCUUUUUGUGACGGUACCUAGAUAAGAAGCACCGGCUAACUACGUG
Molecule: ribosomal RNA, 465 nt
Filed under: uncultured bacterium
Lineage: Bacteria
Description: partial 16S ribosomal RNA
Rfam family: Bacterial small subunit ribosomal RNA
Source: RNAcentral